Molecule: non-coding RNA, 286 nt
Organism: Paramuricea clavata
Lineage: Eukaryota; Metazoa; Cnidaria; Anthozoa; Malacalcyonacea; Plexauridae
Source: the annotation of a GenBank genome assembly
GUAUAAAUCAACAACAUUUUUAACACGACUAAUUCUUGAUUUUUCGGCAAGAAACGUGUGAUGCAGAGCUGCCAAAAAUCCAAUCAGGAAAAUGUUUUGCUUUAAUAUUUGGUUUCACUAAUCUGCUAUUUGUCUAUGCAUCAUUGCCUUUAAACGUUUCUGGGGUAGUGUGAAAUUAGGAGGAGAAGAGUAUAAGCACACAUCGUAACAUUUUAUUUCGUGGUCGUUUGGUGUUUAAUGCCAAGAAAUUAAAGCAUGUCGAUCUAUAUAUCAACUUGCCAAAAAC